Chlorocebus sabaeus (green monkey) is the source of this 110-nucleotide unclassified non-coding RNA. It matches the Rfam family "Y RNA". Rfam says of the family: Y RNAs are components of the Ro ribonucleoprotein particle (Ro RNP), in association with Ro60 and La proteins. The Y RNAs and Ro60 and La proteins are well conserved, but the function of the Ro RNP is not known. Lineage: Eukaryota; Metazoa; Chordata; Mammalia; Primates; Cercopithecidae. The record is from Ensembl.
GGUCUGAAGGUAGAGACUUAUCUCAAUUGACUCUUCACAAUCAGUUAACAGAUUGAACUCCUUAUUCUAUUCUCCCUCUCAUGUUCACUACUGCACUUACCUAACCUUAA